AAUGCUGGAAGAUCAAAUAAGAUGAGAACAAAGAAAAGUCCACUGAAUUUUGCAGCUCUGGUUUGGGUACUUCAAUAUGAGUGGUAUGGCCUGAAGAUCUCUUAAAGCCGCGCAGUGGAAGUUAUCUGGCAGUUCUGCCUCAUAAGAAGGGAGCAAUACAGAUUCAAUUUAUGGGUGGAAUCAUAUCGUACUUGUCUUAGGCCAACAGACACACAAAAAUGCACAGCAUCAUCAAUCAUCAGGGAAAUGCAAAUCAAAACCGCAACGAGAUUAUAAGGUAAACAAAUUGACGAAAACACAAGUGUAAAAGUUGAUGUGAUGGAUAAUUGUGCAUUUCAAUUGUGCAUUUUUCAAAAAUACUUCCUAUCCAACCAAAGCAUGAGAUAUAACUAACAUAAAGAGCAUAUGUACAAA
This is a long non-coding RNA of Suricata suricatta (meerkat), 414 nucleotides long. RefSeq lists it as uncharacterized. Lineage: Eukaryota; Metazoa; Chordata; Mammalia; Carnivora; Herpestidae. The transcript is spliced from 4 exons. The record is from RefSeq and is a predicted model, not a curated record.